Molecule: ribosomal RNA, 459 nt
Filed under: uncultured bacterium
Lineage: Bacteria
Description: partial 16S ribosomal RNA
Rfam family: Bacterial small subunit ribosomal RNA
Source: RNAcentral
CCUACGGGAGGCUGCAGUGAGGAAUAUUGGUCAAUGGGCGAGAGCCUGAACCAGCCAAGUCGCGUGAGGGAGUACUGCCCUAUGGGUUGUAAACCUCUUUUGUCGGGGAGCAAAAGCCGGACGUGUCCGGCUGUGAGAGUACCCGAAGAAAAAACAUCGGCUAAAUCCGUUCCAGCAGCCGCGGUAAUACGGGGGGUCCGAGCGUUACCCGGGUUUUUUGGGUUUAAAGGGUGCGUCGGCGGGCUUUUAAGUCAGCGGUGAAAGUCUGGGGCUCAACCAUAGAAUUGCCGUUGAAACUGGGGGGCUUGAGUACGGUGGAGGCAGGCGGAAUGCGUGGUGUAGCGGUGAAAUGCUUAGAUAUCACGCAGAACCCCGAUUGCGAAGGCAGCUUGCCAAGCCGUGACUGACGCUGAUGCACGAAAGCGUGGGGAUCAAACAGGAUUAGAUACCCUUGUAGUC